AUGUACUUACGAAAACCGGCACUU
RNAcentral lists this non-coding RNA (24 nucleotides) under Arabidopsis thaliana (thale cress). The record is from RNAcentral. Lineage: Eukaryota; Viridiplantae; Streptophyta; Magnoliopsida; Brassicales; Brassicaceae.